CCUACGGGUGGCAGCAGUGGGGAAUAUUGCACAAUGGGGGAAACCCUGAUGCAGCGACGCCGCGUGAGUGAAGAAGGAAUUCGGGAUGUAAAGCUCUAUCAGCAGGGAAGAAAAUGACGGUACCUGAGCAAGAAGCCACGGCUAACUACGUGCCAGCAGCAGCGGUAAUACGUAGGGGGCAAGCGUUAUCCGGAGUUACUGGGUGUAAAGGGAGCGUAGACGGCAGGGCAAGUCUGGAGGGAAAGGCGGGGGCUCCACCCCCGGACUGCGCGGGAAACUGUACGGCUGGAGUGCAGGAGAGGUCAGUCGAAUUCCUCGUGUAGCGGUGAACUGC
RNAcentral lists this ribosomal RNA (334 nucleotides) under uncultured bacterium. RNAcentral describes it as "partial 16S ribosomal RNA". It matches the Rfam family "Bacterial small subunit ribosomal RNA", at positions 338 to 689 of the family's 1533-position model. The record is from RNAcentral.